UGGGGAAUAUUGCACAAUGGGCGCAAGCCUGAUGCAGCCAUGCCGCGUGUAUGAAGAAGGCCUUCGGGUUGUAAAGUACUUUCAGUCGGGAGGAAGGUGGUAAGGUUAAUAACCUUAUCAAUUGACGUUACCGACAGAAGAAGCACCGGCUAACCCCGUGCCAGCAGCCGCGGUAAUACGGAGGGUGCAAGCGUUAAUCGGAAUUACUGGGCGUAAAGCGCACGCAGGCGGUUGAUUGAGUCAGAUGUGAAAUCCCCGGGCUUAACCCGGGAAUUGCAUCUGAUACUGGUCAGCUAGAGUCUUGUAGAGGGGGGUAGAAUUCCAUGUGUGGCGGUGAAAUGCGUAGAGAUGUGGAGGAAUACCGGUGGCGAAGGCGGCCCCCUGGACAAAGACUGACGCUCAGGUGCGAAAGCGUGGGGAGCAAACAGG
This 429-nucleotide ribosomal RNA is filed under the name Chloroflexota bacterium. RNAcentral describes it as "Chloroflexi bacterium partial 16S ribosomal RNA". It matches the Rfam family "Bacterial small subunit ribosomal RNA", at positions 355 to 776 of the family's 1533-position model. The record is from RNAcentral. Lineage: Bacteria; Bacillati; Chloroflexota.